CCUACGGGUGGCAGCAGUGAGGAAUAUUGGUCAAUGGGCGAGAGCCUGAACCAGCCAAGUCGCGUGAGGGCGUACUGCCCUAUGGGUUGUAAACCUCUUUUGUCGGGGAGCAAAAGCCGGACGUGUCCGGCUGUGAGAGUACCCGAAGAAAAAGCAUCUGCUAACUCCGUGCCAGCAGCCGCGGUAAUACGGAGGAUGCGAGCGUUAUCCGGAUUUACUGGGGGUAAAGGGAGCGCAGGCGGGGCGUUAAGCCUGGUGUGAAAGCCCGCGGGCCAACCGCGGGACUGCAUUGGGAACUGGCGCGCGGGAGUGGCGGAGGGGUAGGCGGAAUUCCUAGUGUAGCGGUGAAAUGCGUAGAUAUUAGGAGGAACACCAGUGGCGAAGGCGGCCUACUGGACGGUGACUGACGCUGAGGCUCGAAAGCGUGGGGAGCAAACAGGAUUAGAUACCCCUGUAGUC
This 459-nucleotide ribosomal RNA is filed under the name uncultured bacterium. RNAcentral's name for it is "partial 16S ribosomal RNA". It matches the Rfam family "Bacterial small subunit ribosomal RNA", at positions 338 to 795 of the family's 1533-position model. The record is from RNAcentral.